RNAcentral lists this ribosomal RNA (497 nucleotides) under uncultured bacterium. RNAcentral's name for it is "partial 16S ribosomal RNA". It matches the Rfam family "Bacterial small subunit ribosomal RNA", at positions 28 to 507 of the family's 1533-position model. The record is from RNAcentral.
GAUGAACGCUGGCGGCGUGCCUAAUACAUGCAAGUCGAGCGAACAGGCGAGGAGCUUGCUCCUCUGACGUUAGCGGCGGACGGGUGAGUAACACGUGGAUAACCCACCUAUAAGACUGGGAUAACUUCGGGAAACCGGAGCUAAUACCGGAUAAUAUAUUGAACCGCAUGGUUCAAUAGUGAAAGACGGUUUUGCUGUCACUUAUAGAUGGAUCCGCGCCGCAUUAGCUAGUUGGUAAGGUAACGGCUUACCAAGGCAACGAUGCGUAGCCGACCUGAGAGGGUGAUCGGCCACACUGGAACUGAGACACGGUCCAGACUCCUACGGGAGGCAGCAGUAGGGAAUCUUCCGCAAUGGGCGAAAGCCUGACGGAGCAACGCCGCGUGAGUGAUGAAGGUCUUCGGAUCGUAAAACUCUGUUAUUAGGGAAGAACAAAUGUGUAAGUAACUAUGCACGUCUUGACGGUACCUAAUCAGAAAGCCACGGCUAACUACGUG